This is a long non-coding RNA of Drosophila arizonae, 291 nucleotides long. The record is from RefSeq and is a predicted model, not a curated record. NCBI's taxonomy places the organism in Eukaryota, Metazoa, Arthropoda, Insecta, Diptera, Drosophilidae.
AGAAUGCGCAUUCCAACAAUAUUUCAUUUGCCUUUUCUUCUUCCACACGAAUUGCAUAAAUUUUUGUUUUGUUUGUUAUUGUUAUUUAAAGCUAUUUGUUUAGGUUUUUGUGAUUUAUGCUUGGAAAACAAUUGUUGCUCGAAAUCUUUCGAUCGGCAUUUUGUUAUAUAUAUAUAUAUAUAUAUAUAUGUAUAUAUAUAUGAGUGUGAUCUGCAUCUACUUAAGCUUAGCCCUCAGCCAAUCCUCGGUUAAUUCAUCCAAUUCACGUAUUUCGUACACUCGAGUCAGAUC